RNAcentral lists this ribosomal RNA (468 nucleotides) under uncultured bacterium. Its description in RNAcentral is "partial 16S ribosomal RNA". It matches the Rfam family "Bacterial small subunit ribosomal RNA", at positions 28 to 507 of the family's 1533-position model. The record is from RNAcentral.
GACGAACGCUGGCGGCGUGCUUAACACAUGCAAGUCGAACGGAAAGGCCCUGCUUUUGUGGGGUGCUCGAGUGGCGAACGGGUGAGUAACACGUGAGUAACCUGCCCUUGACUUUGGGAUAACUUCAGGAAACUGGGGCUAAUACCGGAUAGGAGCUCCUGCUGCAUGGUGGGGGUUGGAAAGUUUCGGCGGUUGGGGAUGGACUCGCGGCUUAUCAGCUUGUUGGUGGGGUAGUGGCUUACCAAGGCUUUGACGGGUAGCCGGCCUGAGAGGGUGACCGGCCAAAUUGGGACUGAGAUACGGCCCAGAAUCCUACGGGAGGCAGCAGUGGGGAAUAUUGCACAAUGGGCGGAAGCCUGAUGCAGCAACGCCGCGUGCGGGAUGACGGCCUUCGGGUUGUAAACCGCUUUCGCCUGUGACGAAGCGUGAGUGACGGUAAUGGGUAAAGAAGCACCGGCUAACUACGUG